This 458-nucleotide ribosomal RNA is filed under the name uncultured bacterium. Its description in RNAcentral is "partial 16S ribosomal RNA". It matches the Rfam family "Bacterial small subunit ribosomal RNA", at positions 338 to 795 of the family's 1533-position model. The record is from RNAcentral.
CCUACGGGAGACAGCAGUGAGGAAUAUUGGUCAAUGGGCGAGAGCCUGAACCAGCCAAGUCGCGUGAGGGAGUACUGCCCUAUGGGUUGUCAACCUCUUUUGUCGGGGAGCAAAAUCCGGACGUGUCCGGCUGUUAGAGUACCCGAAGCAACAGCAUCGGCUAACUCCGUGCCAGCAGCCGCGGUAAUACUGAGGAUGCGAGCGUUAUCCUGAUUUAAUGGGUUUAAAGGGUGCGCAGGCGGAGUUUUAAGUCAGCGGUCAAAUCGUGGGGCUCAACCCCAUCCAGCCGUUGAAACUGGGGAUCUAGAGUGUGCGAGAGGUAUGCGGAAUGCGUGGUGUAGCGGUGAAAUGCAUAGAUAUCACGCAGAACCCCGAUUGCGAAGGCAGCAUACCGGUGCACAACUGACGCUCAGGCACGAAAGCGUGGGUAUCGAACAGGAUUAGAUACCCGGGUAGUC